This 365-nucleotide long non-coding RNA is filed under the name Homo sapiens (human). Its description in RNAcentral is "HSALNT0340910". Lineage: Eukaryota; Metazoa; Chordata; Mammalia; Primates; Hominidae. The record is from RNAcentral.
CCCAGCAGCCCGCGUGCGGCCCAGCUCCUCCCUCACGGUGGCCUGUUGAUGCCCAACUCAUGCCUCUGGCACCCUGCCCAGAGGCGUGAGUCCCUGCCUCACACCGACCCCUCCCACGCUGAGGAAGGUCGGCAUGAGCCCCUUGCCUCACACCGGCCCCUCCCACGCUGAGAGAGGUCAGCGUGAGCCCCUUGCCUCACACCGGCCCCUCCCACGCCGAGAGAGGUCAGCAUGAGCCCUUGCCUCCCACCGGCCCCUCCCACGCUGAGAGAGGUCAGCGUGAGCCCUUGCCUCACACCGGCCCCUCCCACGCUGAGAGAGGUGGGCGUGAGCCCCUUGCCUCACACUGGCCCCUCCCACACUGA